UACGUAGGGGGCAAGCGUUGUCCGGAUUUAUUGGGCGUAAAGAGCGUGUAGGCGGCCCGAUUAGUCCGCUGUGAAAGUCCAGGGCUCAACCCUGGAAUGCCGGUGGAUACUGUCGGGCUAGAGUCCGGAAGGGGCGAGUGGAAUUCCUGGUGUAGCGGUGAAAUGCGCAGAUAUCAGGAGGAACACCAAUGGCGAAGGCAGCUCGCUGGGACGUGACUGACGCUGAGACGCGAAAGCGUGGGGAGCAAACGGG
RNAcentral lists this ribosomal RNA (253 nucleotides) under uncultured bacterium. RNAcentral describes it as "partial 16S ribosomal RNA". It matches the Rfam family "Bacterial small subunit ribosomal RNA", at positions 524 to 776 of the family's 1533-position model. The record is from RNAcentral.